UGCUUGUUCUGCCCACUAUGACUCAUUUGUUCCCAAUUGAAAGGACAGACUGUUGUCUAGCUUGGUUUUGUUAUUAAAAAAAAUAUUCGAUUAAAUGUUGUAAUAGCAAGUACUUCUCUGCAGCUGUCACCACAACACCUAUUUUCUGUGACUUAAGGUCCAUUCCUACGGUACAGUUGAUAACCAUGACCGCUUCAAAGCCAACCUUACUGAAGUCAAUUUCAUUCAUUAUCUUAUCACUCUGUGCAGUUUCACCACGCUCUCCACCGGGGUCAGUGUCGCACCAGACGGCGGGCAUCAUCGGCCCCGGGAAUCUUCCGUUUCACCCCUGCCUUUACACAGGAACAGUGGGUAAACUGCCUUGUUCAGGGGCAGAACGACAGAUUUGUACCUUGUCAGCUCAGGAUUCGAUCUUGCAACCUUUCGGUAACUAGUCCAAUAAGCUCCAUGGCAGGAUGUGUGGAAUUGCAGGAGACUAGCUUUGAAACUGCAAAAAUGUCUCUUCGCUACCAAGAUAACUUUUUUUACUUAUUCUUUGGUCUGAAUGUUUUUUCACCACUCAACCCUUAUGGUGGGUCGCGACUCAAAAUACCCCUCCCCUACACUAAUUACAAUUUGCAUACCGCCCCCAAAAGAUCCAUGGAUAAUGUGAUCGCCAUCGCACUGCACACAGCCCUAUCCCAUCUGGACAAGAAGAAUACCUGUGUAAGAAUGCUGUUCAUCGGCUACAGCUCAGGCUUCUACGCCAUAAUGCCCUCCAAGCUCAUCACUAAGCUUGGGAAUCUUCGUCUGAAACCCGCCCUCUGCAACUGGGUCUUGGACUUGCUGACCCUCUGCCACACUGAUCCACAACACAGGAGCCCCACAAGGGGACGUGCUCAGCUCCCUCCUGUACUCAGCAUAGAGAGCACACCCCCGUCCACAUCGAUGAGGCCUUAGUGGAAAGGUUGAAAAGCAUCAUGUUCCUCAGCAUGCACAUCCCUGACAAUCUGAAAUGGUCCAUCCACACAGACAGUGUAGUGAAGAAAGUGCAACAGCGCUUGGCCCCUCAGACCCUCACGAACUUCUAAAGAUGCACCGUUGAGAGCAUCUUGUCAGGCUGUAUCACCGCCUGGUACAGCAAUUGCACAUUCCUCAACCGUAGGGCUCUCCAGAGGGUGGUGCGGUCAGCCCAACGCAUCACCGGGGGGCACACUUCCUACCCACCAGGACAUACAUUAUACAGCACCCAGUGUCACAGGAAGGCCAAGAAGAGUAUCAAGGACCUCCGCCACCGGAGCCACGGCCUGUUCACCACACUACCAUCUAGAAGGCAGAGACAGUACAGGUGCAUCAAAGCUUGGACCGAGAGACUGAAUAACAGUUUCUAUCUCAAGGCCAUCAGACUGUUAAAUAGUCAACACAAGCUGGCCUCCGACAAGUCUACUACCCUGAACUUAGUCACUGUUACUAGCCGGUUACCAUCUGGUACUCAACCCUGCACCUUAGAGACUGCUGUCCUAUGUACAUAGUCAUUGAACACUGGUCACUUUAAUCAUCUUUACAUACUUUUUUUACGCACUUCAUAUGUAUAUACUGUAUUCUAGUCGAGGCUCAUCUUAUAUAACUGCUGCUGUAAACAUAUUUUCUAUUCAUAUAUUGUCCAUAAUGUCUAUACACACCAUCAUAUACAGUAUGUGUGUAUGCGACUAAUACAUUUGAUAUGAUUUGAAUUGAAAACGCACAUAAUCUAACGCCUGCCUCAGACCACUCGUAGAACAGCUAAGUGCAUCGUUUGAUGCUUCGUUUUUCUGCCCUCCCUUGUCACUUUUAUACACAGAAGAGCUCUGCCAAACAUAGAAUCAAUCACAUGGUUUAUCCACCUCUCUCUGACCUCCAAUAACUUCAAAACAAAGUUGCCAAUGUCUUUGCACUAGAUACAAACCAGCAACGUAUAAAAUGAUGGUUCAUGCAAGACAAAGUGAGUUAGCAAUAGCAUCACCUGCCCAUGUGGGAAAGCCUACAUAAGAUAAAUGCCAAGACGAUUAAAACAACGCAUAGCUGAACACCGCAGCUCAAUCAGGUGUAAGAACACUGACUAUCCAGUAGCAGCUCACAUCCUAUCUCUUCCCUCAAAUACACAGGUAUCGAGCAUGUUACCCUACCAAGGAGAGGCGGUAACAUUGAGACCCUACUACUACAGAGGGAGGCCUCCUGGUUAUCCUAACCAACAUUGACCCCUAGUGGUCUGAAUAUUGCCUUUGAUCUCAGGCCCUUCUUAUGAACAAUCCUCUUUUUUAUUAACAAGUCUUAUAAAUGAAUAUAUUAUUUCUACAGCUUAUCAGGGUACACCCAAUAUGUUCCCCCUGUUGAUGAGGCUUAUAAUGCAUUAUGGUUGAACCAAAACGAUACAAAUUAAAUGAAAUUGGAAACAAUUAAAUAUAUAUGUGAAAUUAAAUUAAACAAUAAUGUAUGUAGAUGCUAAUAUUAUGUACAAUAUCUAAUUAUGUUGCCAUUUGAUAACAAUAGCCUAGUAUAUUCAACAUGCUGUAAAUUACUGUCUUGUAACAGUUUCACUUGAUAGCCUUCAAUAUUGACUGUUCUAGAGAAUUUUAAACCGUUUUUUGUUUGAACAUAGUAUAUGGGAUUGAUUUUAAGAAAUUUAGUGGAGAUUCAGUGAAAAUAAAAAUCUCAUUCAUUUGUCAAGACCUGUCCCCAUGCUUGUCUCAGAGCAGAACAGAACGGUGCUGAAAUAGUUGACCACAGUGGGUAGGCUAUCGCUUCAAAUCCUAUUGCUUCUAACUUCAAUAUGUUUUAUAAAUAAAUAAGACCGUUAACAGCACAUUACUCAAAACUAGUGAGACUCAUGUCGCCAACAGUAUAGCUUUUUAAAAAAAAAAUUAAAUGACGUGACUCUUAGCCAAUAAUUAGGUUUAGAGGAUUGGAGGAUUUUAAAUGAAUAUCUAAAUGGCAUAUCUAAGGGCAAAUCUGAUCUGUGAGAAUAUCUAAGUGGCUUUUAUAUAAUUAUAAAUGAAUUAAUAAUAAUAAUAAUAAUCGCUUUGUUUUAAAAGUAAUAUUUUGGAGAUUUCAUUUUCAAAUAACCUAAAGUGAGUGAGAAAAUGUCCAUUCUUGUAAAUGGGGUGAGACAUUGUUACUAAUUUUUAAAUAAAGCCAGUUUAUUUAUUUCUGUUUUUAGAGGGAGAGAGCCCACCGUCAAUUCAUGAAUCUCCCGGUGACGGCCGGCACGGGUAUCGAACCAGCAACUGUAGCAACGUCACUGAGAGUGAGUGUCUUACACCGCAGCGCCACUCGGAAGGUCCCAUCCUCAAAUUUUUUAUGCUGAUCAAUUGCCUUGCACAAAGUAUCUAUUGUCCUGCUAAUAGCCCAUAAUGGCGCUGUAAAUCGUGACUGGUCGGGAGUAGGCUACAGUACUACAGUAAGAGCAAAAUAAUCCUAACAUUUCCACACCCUAAUUGUAGAUUAGCCAAUACCCAAAUGGAGAUUCAGUGAAAAUAAACAUCUUUUUGAUUUAUCAAGACCUGUCCCCAUGCUUGUCUCCCUAUGUCUGACCUCUGAAUGCUGUCUAAGCUAUAUGUUUUGAAGAGUAUUUUCCAGUAAGCAACACUUUGUUUACCUUCAUUAGCCUACUUUGUUCCAUUAUUUCUGUCAUUCAGUGAUAUUUAUUCCCAUAGUAAUUUGUUAUGAAUUUCUAAGGAGAUUAACAUCUGCAUUUUGAAAGAGUAUUUUUAUAAUUAUUUAUUAACUAAAGCACAAAGAUGUUGAUGUAGAAAUAUAGUACUGUACAGUUUAUGAUUUAUCUGACAUUUUUGCAGGCAGCAGCGUAGCCUAGUGGUUAGAG
Molecule: long non-coding RNA, 3838 nt
Organism: Oncorhynchus tshawytscha (Chinook salmon)
Lineage: Eukaryota; Metazoa; Chordata; Actinopteri; Salmoniformes; Salmonidae
Source: Ensembl